UUCAUUCCACAGCUGUUGUCAACCAAACCUUCCCGAUCUAUAUAAAGGUUGGUUUGGCCUCACACAUAUUAGCCAAGCAAGUAAACCAGCUCGACCUAUAUACAGCUACUUGUCUUGUGUAUUGACUGACAAAUUGUAGUUAACAUGGCACGUCAGGCAGACCGUCUUGCUAAGAUUGGGCUGGAGGGCUUUGCAGCCAGAGAUGAGCACUUCGGCCGGGCCAAGAGGCGGCCACCAGUGCUGAAGGUUCCCUAUGCUCAUCCGACAUAUUACUAUGCAAACCAAAUUCCUGCAACAGAAGUUAUCGACACCAACGAGGCAGCUCAACGCUACAAGGGGAGGGUUUAUCUCGAUUAUCCUAAGGGGAAACCAGUUCCGUUUUAAAGACCUAGUGAUUAAUCACUUAGCUUUCUUGUAUGCAUAACCUCCUCCAGUUGUGUUACCUUUAGUCCUGUACGAUAUUCUCCCUCUGCUAAACGUAUACGAGGAGAGGUUGCUAGAACUCGAGUCAGGAGCUUCUUGUUACUUCUUCAAAUAAACUUUCUGUGAUUUAUAUAUCAUUUUCUAUUUGUAUGUAUUGUCAUAAUUAUCACCUCUUACUUAGCAUGGAAUUGAAAGAUACAAUAUGCUCUUGAAAUGCUUUGAAGCUCUUCAAGGUGUGAUUUCACCGACUAAGUUGGAACUGUACAGAGCUCAAUGAUGAGCCGUAGGAGGCGUCUCUGAUUGUUGCACUGUAAGCAUGAGUGUACGUAUGAAUAUAACCAGCAGAUCCGCAAAGCACAAGUGAUGACAAGCUUCUUAACACGGCUACAUUUAACAGUUUUACCAACGAAAUUUUUUGUCGGUAUUUACUCUACCAUUCCGUCAGCAUGAAUUUUACCGACUGAUUUACGGACGGAAACAGUCGGUCGAUAAAUUCCUCUUGUCAGUAAUUUUAUUAAUGUCGGUAAAAAAAAACCGAUGGUUUUACAGACAGAAAAUGCAAGCCAAUUUUUUUUCCACUGGAAUAUAAAGACAGAAUUAUUUCUUCGGUGAUUGACAGUGGCAUAUGGAGUAAUUUUAUUCCAAACCCUCUAUAAAAUACCGAAGGAAUUAUUCCAUCGGUGAUGUAACAGUUGAAAUGGCAUAUGCAGUAAUUAUUUUUCAACUCUCUGGAAUAUAACGACCAACAAAGUUUGUCGGUAACUCUGUCCGUAAUAAUUAAAAAAUAUAUUUUAUACAAAAUUGUAUAAAAUUCAAGUAUGUGAAAAUAAAUUACCUAUGCUCAUCCGACAUAUUACUAUGCAAACCAAAUUCCUGCAACAGAAGUUAUCGACAGCAACGAGGCAGCUCAACGCUACAAGGGGAGGGUUUAUCUCGAUUAUCCUAAGGGGAAACCAGUUCCGUUUUAAAGACCUAGUGAUUAAUCACUUAGCUUUCUUGUAUGCAUAACCUCCUCUAGUUGUGUUACCUUUAGUCCUGUACGAUAUUCUCCCUCUGCUAAACGUAGACGAGGAGAGGUUGCUAGAACUCGAGUCCGGAGCUUCUUCUUGCUUCAUCAAAUAAAAUUUCUGUGAUUUAUAUAUUAUAAUUUUCUAUUUGGCUGGUCAAGUAUGCAUUGUCAUAAAUAUCACUCUGCUUCCCUGAUUAUUACCUUAUUCACCUAUUACUUAGCAUGAAAUAUUGAAAGAUUAAUGCAGUCGGAAGCACAACAAUAUAGCUGCAAGCAUAGAAAGACAAAAGAUAAACUGAAAUAAUGUUAAAACACUGAGAAUCCUAAAACCUUAUUUCUAAAUUAUUAAUUUGAUUAAGUUUACCUUCUAAAGAGGUUUACAAUCUCUUUCAUAGACUAGAAAAAUAGGCCAAGAUUCGAAACAAAAUCAGAAUCCCAAAACAUAACGGAAAAUAACAUAAAAUUUAAAAAUAAACAAUAAAUCUGCGAAAAUUAAGGAAAAAUAACAAAAUUAUCCCAAAUAAUAACUAAUUAGCCUACUUUAUGGAGAUACAAUGCUCUGAUAACUAUUGAGUUGUUUUUAAUGGGAAAACGGUUUGUAGAAUCUUCUAUAAAAAUUUAAACCUGAUUUAACGGUUAGAAUAUCUCCUGUUAUCAUUAUUUUAGGCUAUUAUUCUGGUCUUGCGUGAUGAUGCUUUCUCUUGGCCUAAACAUCUUUCACUAGUACAUGAACAUAUCUGUUAGUAGUCCGUUUAGGGCAAACAAAUAAUUAAUUUGCUGUUCAAAUGCUUUGAAGCUCUUCAAGGUGUGAUUUCACUGAAUAAUUUCGAGUUUAGAAUUAUCACCUCAUUUUAGAAUUGUCCCGAGCACAAGGAUAAAAUGAUGAGCCAUGGGAAGCGUCUCCGAUAAAGAAAUAAUAAACGGAGUUCAAGGUAAAACAAUAGCUUAGAAAAAAAAAAGUAGAAAUUUACACGAUAUCUAAGAAUAUCAGCGAUCAUGACCAUGAUUGGAUCAUUUCUGAGUUCUACAACCAAAAUUUCCUUCACAUCUCUUUAACUAAGCUGAUAGUCGAUGAAGAUUUAAGGAAAAACAUGAUUCCCAAUCCGAGCCAUAUGAGCAAGUGUAUCUAGUAAAAAUAUCUUAUCUCCCAUGAAAAUCAUAUUAGUAAGCCUCCCUCUGAAGCAUUGCUUUACACAUAUCUUUUACAGAAAAAAGAGAAAAAUGGGAAAUGCUCCGAGUUAUACCUUUUCUUGAUCUUUCCCAAUCCUUCAUUAUAAAUGGGACCCAUCAAAAACAUGAGAUGUGCUUUAACUUCCUCCAUAUUUCAUCUUAGCCUAGAAGGAUAAACAAGAAUAUUAUUGCUUCUGAAACAUAACGAUUGCAAGCAUCGCCUUUCGGUGAACUUUAGAUGACAUGAAACUGCCACAAAUUGGGUCCUAUCCGAGAGAGUUUUCUUUUUCUGCUCUGUUAUCACACAUAUACAACUGAAAUCUUUAAGUCCUCUUUAGGGUAUCCCUGAAAGAAAAUGAUCUAUCAUGCAUGGAAAGUCCUGAGGAAUCUGAGGCAUCACUACAUGAAAUUCAACCAACGGAAUUGCCGACAAACUGUUUCUUUCGGUAUUUUGCGGUGAUAUUUACCGACCGAAUUACUUCCCUUGCUAAAACCGUCGGUAUAUAUCGAGUGAAUCCCAGAUAGAAUAUAAAGAAUUUUAAAAAACAAAGCAGUGCAAUGACGUGGAAGUUUUGGUGGAUGAUGUUACUGAUGGAAUUACAGAGUGAUUCAAACUGGGAUGUUCGUACAGUGACGUGUUUACUUCACCGACAGAAUGGCCGAUGGAUUUACAAACAAAAAUAUUAUGUCGGUAAUUCCAUCGAUAAUAGUUAAUAUAUUGAAUGUUUUUUUAGUGUUUACUUGUUUUAUUACUUUUCUCAAACAAACAUGUAGUAUGGAUUUAUAAUUUUGUACUUGGUAUGGUUUGUUUUAGAUUUUGUAAAAUUAUAUUUGUUUGUAAAUUGUUGAAAUUUAUGUCGAAUUACCGACUUAGGUGUGUUGUGAUGAAAUAAAUAAUGACUUGUUUGAUGGGUCCGUUUUAAUUUUUGUCAAUUUUAUUGCCGAGUUGUAAUUUCUGUAAAUUAAUGUGUCUAAAUUUGUAUGGACGUAGAUAAUUGAUAAUGAAUAUUUAAGAGAAGUUUGAAAGUAAGUUGGAAAUCUUGAGCUAAACCAAUAUUUUUGCAAAUUUAUUUGCUUGACGUAGUUAAUUAAUACAUGUUGUCAUCAUUAUUUUAUAGAGGUUUGAUAGAAGUCAUGGAUGAUCAUUCAUGGAUGUAUCGAGAUUCACCUUAAGAAUUGCGGAGGAUGGAUUAUUAUAAUAGGGUUCAGAGUUUUAUUAAUUUCGCAACAUCUAUUUCGAGAAAUUUUAGUGGAGACGGUAUUAAGUGUCCAUACAGGAGGUGUAAAAAUAAAAAGUUUUUGCAUCCAGAUGUUGUAACGAUGUAUCUUCUACACAAAGGGUUCAUGGAGGAUUACUUGUGUUGGUAUGCACACAAAGAAUUAUUUGUUCGUAACAAGAGCAUGGUAGAAAGGAUGGUUGGGUCAACUUCUAGUGCUAGCAAUGUGCAUGGAGUUGUAAAUGACAAUAGUAAUCCUUACAGGAAUAUGGUUAUGGAUUCAAUGAGAAUGAAUCAAGAUAAUGCUAGUCAAUGUCCAAUUGUAGAAGAAGAUGCUAGUCAAUGUCCAAUUGUAGAAGAAGAACCUAAUGCAGACGCGGCCAGGUUUUUUGAUUUGUUGAAAGAUUCUGAUGAACCAUUAUGGGAUGGCUGCACAAAUCACUGUAAAUAAUCAGUUGUUGCAUAUGUGUUCACUAUCAAGUCAGAUUAUGGGUUGAGUGAGGCCGGUUAUGACAAAAUUAUCGAAUGGGCGAGAAGCAUUCUACUUGAAGGGAACAAGCUGAAAGAGAACUUCUAUGCUACUAAGUCCAUGAUGAAACCCCUCGGUUUAGGAUACUAGAAAAUUGACAUGUGUCCAAACUUUUGCAUGAUGUACUACCUUGAAAAUGCUGAGCUAACCGAGUGCAUGGCAUGAGAGCAUUCCCGUUACAAAUCCAGAACUGGCAUGGGAAAGACUCUUAUGGCAUAUAAAAAACUUAGAUACUUCCCAAUCACGCCUAGACUGUAGAGGUUAUUCAUGUCACCAAAGACUACUGAGCACAUGAUAUAGCACCAAUCACUUGAUGCAGUGGAUGGAGUGAUAGUGCAUCCUUCUGACGGUGAAGCAUGGAAACACUUUAACAGUGUGCAUUCUCAUUUUUCAGCUGAAUCAAGGAACGUGCAUCUUGGGUUAUGUACAGAUGAAUUCAACCCAUUCAGGUCAUUUGUUGAUCCUUAUUCUUGUUGGCCGAUUAUACUCACGGUUUACAACUUACCACUCUUAUGGCAACAGUUGCUCCUUCUUCACAAUACUUAUGGAACAAAGACUUGUUAAGUGCUUGACUAACGGACUGUUUUUCUCAAAGCUUUUAGUUUGGUUGACCUGAAACUUUGUUUUCGUAGCAAUCCCCAUCAACGGAAACUACGAUCAAACUGUGUACAAUUUGGUUAUCUUGAAAUCGCAAUCUAGUGAUUUGCUUAAUCCAAAACCAAAAUCAAUGCCAAAGUUCGGUCAACCUGAGAUCCCAAUUUGGCGAUCCGCUUUAACUAGAACUAAAAUAUGAAAAGUAGCUCGGUAACCUGAAAUCCCAAUCUGGCGAUUCACUUUAACCAGAACCUUGGUCUUUGUCGUUAAGUUGGUCAACCUAAAAUCCCAAUACGACGAUUCUCUUUAAUAAGAACCAAAAUGUCGCCUUUAGCUUAGUUAAUCUGAAAUCUCAAUCUAGAGACCCCCUUUAACCAAAACCUUGGUCUUUAUCCUUAGCUCGGUCAACCUGAGAUCCCAAUCUAGUGAUUUCCUUUAACCAAAACCAAAAUGUCACCUUAAGCUUGGUUAACCUGAAAUCUCAAUCUACAGAUCCCCUUUAAUCAGAACCUUGAUCUUUGUCUUUAGCUCAGUCAACUUGAGAUCCUAAUCUAGCUAUUCCCUUUAAUUAGAACAAAAAUGUCACCUUCAGCAUGGUUAACCUGAAAUCUCAAUCUAGAGACCCCCUUUAACCAGAACCUUGGUCUUUGUCUUCAGUUCGGCAAACCUAAAAUCCCAAUCUGAUGAUUCGUUUUAACCAGAACCAAAAUGUUGCCUUAAGCUUGGUUAACCUAAAAUCUCAAUAUAGAGACCCCCUUUAACUAAAACCUUGGUCUUUGUCUUUAGCUCAUUCAACCUGAGAUCCCAAUCCGACAAUCCUAUUUAACUAGAACCAAAAUGUUUCUUUCAGUUUGGUUAACCUGAAAUCUCAAUCGAGUGACUCCCUUUAAUCAAGCGAUUCCCUUUAACUAAAACCAAAAUGUUGCCUUCAACUCGGUUAACCUAAAAUCUCAAUUUAGAGACCCCUCUUUAACUAGAACCUUAGUCUUUUUUUUUUAGCUCGGUCAACUUGAGAUCCCAAUCUUAUGAUCCCAUUUAACAAGAACCAAAAUAUUGCCUUCAACUCGGUUAACCUAAAAUCUCAAUUUAGGGAACUCUCUUUAACUAGAACCUUAGUCUUUUUCUUUAGCUCGGUCAACUUGAGAUUCCAAUCCUACGAAUCUUGAAACAUCAUCCCCUUCUUAGUCCUACUUUGAUUUGCCAAAAAAAUGGAAAAGAAUGAAUGAUAUGGUGGAGAACUAGACCGGUCUUUACCAUUGGCUAGAACCAACCAUAGGCUGCUUAGAAAGCAACCUUCAACACCUAAAAACAAACCACCACAUAACAACCCUGCAAUUAUCAACAACAACAUCUAGUUCUAGCUACCUAGUCUAUGUCAAAGAAUAGAAUCUGAGGCAACUUUUUGACCAAAAUUCCAUUCUCUAUUAUUCCUUCAAUAUUGGGGUUUAAUGCAAGCAACUUGUUUAUUCGGAUUUGAGAUGUAAAUAGAUUUUAAUUUUGUUAGGAUGAGGUGGUCAGGUUGCGUCACAUUGAUUAUGUCAUGAAGUUAACUAGAGUAAGAAAUAAAGAUAUCAAGUUUCGGAGAGAAUCAAGAUCAGUUAAAGCAAAAAAAAAAAAAAACAGAUUAUGAAAAUAAAUUGGAAACGAAAAGUUUAGUUAUAAGGAAUUAGAUUCACAAACAAAUUUAAGUCUCAUCAAUUCUAGGAAACAAGUUGGAAGGAAUCAAUUUUACAAAAAUUGACCUUCGCACUAGAGAGAACCUUCGAGCCACUUCAAAUGUACUGAAGGCCAUUUGUUUGCCAUAUGUGCUAAUUAAGAACAUAAUUCUAUUCUUUUGUGAGUUAAUAUUCUGUAAAAUAAGCUUGGAAUAGCUUGCGGGGGCUUGGCUCAGAGAUCAUUGAGUUUUUACUACAAAUUGCCUUUUAAUUUUUUUCCACCUGUAAUUGGAUUCGAUAAGUUUCCCUUUUGUUUACAUAUGAAGAACAAACAUUGCUUGAGGUUAUCCAAUGCCGAGAUCAAGGUCAGAUAAUACUAGCGAACCCCUAAUCAGGAUUAAGAAGCAAAAAAAAUGUUAAGUGCAGCUUAUCCAAUGCCGAGACCAAGGUCAGAUAAUAUCCUGAUUGUGCUUAUUGCCAUUAAUUAGAAACUGCAAUAUCGUCACAUAAUUAAACUGAGAUUAUUCUGAUUAGAGAACAGAAGGAAUCUUCUUUCAUAAUUGGCUUUUGCGAAGGUUUAGUGUUUUUGCUGCUACUGCUUUUGGACCUGACUUGAUUCCUGAUCGGUCGAAAAAGCAUUAGUCCAAAAGCAGGGAAGCUUUUGUUUUCUUUAAUCACAUGAUCAGAUAUUAUAAUUUAUGCCCAACACAAAUUCAUAAAAGUGGCUCUAAGAUUGGCUGACAACAGUUGUUAAUGAGCAGUGUUUGCAUCCCUUAUUUUUCAGUUUACUAAGUAUUUAGAACAUUCAAUUCCAAUCCAAAGUCGAUAAUAAUAAACUCUUGGUAAUGGUUUUGUCAUCGAUGGUGAUCGGACGACAAAAAAACCAGUAAAAUUGUUUUAUAUAAAAAGUUUAUUAAGUAUUGAAAACAUCCAAAUCUAACAUGUUUUACUUUUUUGUGUUUAAAUAUGAUAUUAAUAAACUUUUGGUGAUAUUUUUUUUUUCAUUUUGUGAUGCUUUUAUCGUCAGUAGUGAUAAGAUGAAGAAAAGCUAUUGAUUUUUCUCUCAGCAAUGGUUUGUUUUAUCGUACACAAAUGUUGGGUGCUUUUAUUUACAAAAAGGAGUACUGUCUACCAUUAUUCAUUCCACAGCUGUUGUCAACCAAACCUUUCCUUUCUAUAUAAAGGUGGCUUGGCCUCCUACAUAUUAGCCAAAGCAAGAAAACCAACAAAACCUAUAAACAGCUACUUGUCUUUGUGUGUUGAUUAAUUGUAGUUAACAUGGCACGUCAGGCAGAUCGUCUUGUUAAGAUUGGGCAGGAGGGUUUUGCAACCAUUGAUGAGCACUUCGGCCGGGCCAAGAGGCGGCCACCAGUUAUGAAGGUUCCCUAUGCUCAUCCCACAUAUUACUAUGCAACAGAAGUUAUCGACAGCAACGAGGCAGCUCAACGCUACAAGGGGAGGGUUUAUGUCGAUUACCCUAAGGGUAAACCAGUUCCGUUUUAAAGACCUAUUGAUUAAUCACUUAGCUUUCUUGUAUGCAUAACCUCCUCCAGUUGUGUUACCUUUAGUCCUGUACGAUAUUCUCCCUCUGCUAAACGUAGACGAGGAGAGGUUGCUAGAACUCGAGUCAGGAGCUUCUUCUUACUUCUUCAAAUAAACUUUCUGUGAUUUAUAUAUCAUUUUCUAUUUGUAUGUAUUGUCAUAAUUAUCUUUCUUACUUCCUCAUUAUCACCUCUUACUUAGCAUGGAAUUGAAAGAUACAAUAUGCUCUUGAAAUGCUUUGAAGCUCUUCAAGGUGUGAUUUCACCGACUAAGUUUGGAACUGUACAGAGCUCAAUGAUGAGCCGUGGGAGGCGUCUCUGAUUGUUGCACUGUAAGCAUGAGUGUACGUAUGAAUAUAACCAGCAGAUCCGCAAACCACAAGUGAUGACAAGCUUCUUAACACUGCUGCAUUUAACAGUUUUACCAACAAAAUGUUUUGUCGGUAUUUACUCUACCAUUCCGUCAGCAUGAAUUUUACCGACUGAUUUACGGACGGAAACAGUCCAUUGGUAAAUUCCUCUUGUCAGUAAUUUCAUUAAUGUCGGUACAAAAAAACCCGAUGGUUUUACAGAUAGAAAAUGCAAGCCAAUUGUUUUUCCACUGGAAUAUACAGACGGAAUUAUUUCUUCGGUGAUUGACAGUGGCAUAUGGAGUAAUUUUAUUCCAAACCCUCUAUAAAAUACCGAAGGAAUUAUUCCAUCGGUGAUGUAACAGUUGAAAUGGCAUAUGCAGUAAUUAUUUUUCAACUCUCUGGAAUAUAACGACCAACAAAGUUUGUCGGUAACUUCGUCCGUAAUAAUUAAAAAAUAUAUAUAUUUUUAAAAAUUAUUUAUUGAACAAAAAAAGAAAAUAAUAAAAAAUAUAAAAUUGUAUAAAAUUCAAGUAUGUAAAAAUAAAUUACCUUAGUAUAAAAGCCAAAUAUUCAUUACAAAUUUAUAUGUUCAAAUAAAAUUAAACUAGAAAAAUGGCGGCGUUGGAGGAGGCUGAUCGUUCCCGGGACCAUAUGGCCAAAAAGAGUGUCGCACGUGACCCGCGCGGCGUCCGAUGGUGAUUUUUUCGUUAUGCGUUUGCUUGAUUGGUUCGUUGGGAGUCGCCACCUAGUAUUUAAUUGAGGGCAACUAGGAAACCCGGGUGUACUGGUCUUGUCAGAGAUUCACGGGUAAGGGACUGGUUGUGGUUAGGGAAGGUAUUUGCACCCCUAACGCACCCUACCUGAGGUAAGCUGCUUCGUGGCUUUGAUGUGAUAAAGAAGUUUUAAAAAUUUUGUUCUUUCAUCGGGUAUUAGAAAUACGACUUACAUGUAAGUUCAUAAUUCUUGACCGUGAUCAAAUCAAAAUAUUAAAUUCUUCUUUAUUCUUUGCAAUUUUAUCAUAAAAAAAAUACAUUUAUAAAAAAAAAACUACAAACAAACACAUUCACUUUCACUAUAUUUUUUCUUUUCUUUUUCUUUUUUUUCUUUUUCACAUCUAUAUUACAAAAAUUCAAAACUAAACAAAAAUUACAUUAAAUAAUUUGAAAUUACAAAAAUAGCCCAAAAACAAGUCCAUAACAGUGCUGGGAAGCUUUCUGGAACUGCAUGCAGUGUUGAAGAAGGUUCCUGAACAGUUGAACAGUGCGUCGCCACGAGAAAUUCCAGGCAGCAGGGGGCGCUGCUGCGGCUUCCUCCCCUCUUCACUUCCCUGCCGGCGGUUAGGGUCUUCAUCACCUGCAAAAGAAUAAAACACCCAAACCAGUUGAUUUUAAUUUUUCUUUCUUUUUCGGAUCUGUUUCGGUCUUCUCCUUUUCAGAUCUACUUCACCGCAGAUCUUUCUUUGGUUUACAUCUUCUUCUCCUUCGCUUCAGGUGGCCGGUAGUUGGGCGGCGACGGCGCUGGAUUCAGGUUGUUGCUUUGGCCGCUGCAAUUGGUGGCUGAAGGAAAUGGCGUGGAUCUGUGGGCUGCCGUGUGCUGGCUGCUGUGGCUGACGGUGUGGGCGGCGCUGAUGGGAGGAGGAAAUGAAGGAAAAAGUCGGGGGGAAAAGGGAGGCAAAUCUGUUCUGGGGUUGCAGGUCUGCAGCAAUAGUGGAAGGAAAUGGGGGAGAUCGGCUGGCUGGGGGGCUGGUCUCUUUCGGCCGGUUCUGAUUUGCUUUUGGAUGAGGGGCGUGAGUGGUGGCUUCUGUUGAUAAGGGGAAAGGAAGGCUUGUGCGGGGAAGAUGAAGAUGACCGGGAGGGGAGCGGCCAAGGAAGAAGAAAAAAAUCAAAAACCAGCGGGGGGCGGUGUCUGCUCUUUUGUUUUGCCAAGUGGGGAGCGCUGCUGUUUGGGUAAAGAUAGGUUUAGGUUUAGGGUUAGGGUUUCUUGUAUCUCUCAAUGUGUAAAAUUACCCCCCUUCUCCUUUUGUGUGUUGUGGAGACCAGUAUUUAUAGGUAAAAAUAUUGUUUGGGUUUUUUUUUUUGUAAAUUUGAUUUUUCUUGUUUUUUUUGGAUUUUCUUAUCAACAUCGCCUCGAAUGAGGAAAAUCAGUGAUUUUAAAAAUAACGCGUUAAAAGUCAAACGCGUUCCAAAGAUCUUUGAAAAUUUAAAUUCUUUUGAGACGAUGUUGAAAAUGCUAAAAACGAUGCAAAUAUAUUAAAAAAACAUAUUUUUUUGGAUUUUCGAUGUUUUCGCUAUUUUUGGAUUUUUCUGAAAAUUUAUCAAAAACAUGGGUCAAAAAUUGGGUAGCAACAAAGAGGACGCACAUGUACCACCCAUCUGUGAUCUUAUAUCCAUCGCCAUUCUACGGAGUUCAUAAUAAUCUGCAUAGAGUCGUUCAUAUUCUUCAAUGAGAUAGGUCGUAUGUUGUUGUAAGGUCACGAACUCCUGAGACUGGGUGGUCAAUAUCGAUUGCAAGCUCCCAACGGUUGAGACACUACGGGCCAUCUACAAGUUGGUCGUGGUGUUGGAGAGUUUGCACACCUGAUUUCUAUCUGGUCUACCAGAUGAUCCUACCUCCAUCCACAAAUCUGGAUCGAAAUCCAGGUGGGUCGAAGGAUCGUUCCCGUAUCUCUCCCUUAAUCGUCUGUUAUAUGUCUCCUGGAAAUAAAAAAACUGAAAUCAUCAAAUUUAAUUCAAGUAAAUAAUAAUUUACAAAAGAAAAUGGUUGAACGAACAUACCACAAAGUGUUGAGCGCAGUAGUUAACGAACUGUUGCACCUCUUUUUGGCAGUCUUCACUCUACACGUGCGUCUCCACAAAAAGCUCCAUUGGGCUUGGCUCACGUCUAAGAGCUGUAGUCUGUAAGAAAAAAAUGUUGCAAGUAAAAUAAAUUUAUAAAUAACAACAAAUUAAUUAAAGAUAGAUGUGAUUAAAAUUAUUUUUUUUGUUAUUUUUUUAAUUUUUUAGGCUUUGUUUGGAAAAAAAAACCUAAUUUUUUUGUAAUAAAACUGUCGAAACAAGCAUAAGGGGGUGUUUGCCAAACACACCCUUAAACCAAAAAACCCUUUUAGCAAAAAUAUUGCAAGCUAAACAAGGUCUUAACCCUUUGACCCAUUCUUGACCCAACUGGGUUGACCCAAUCGAGUUGACCUGACUGGGAUGACCUAAAAUCUUUGGUUUCAACCAUAAACCGAACCAAAGAUCCUAGUUUGACCCGAAAACAACUCAAAAAGAAAACAAAAGCCAAAAAACAGAUUAAACACCAAAAAACAUGAAAAAACUUGAAAAUAACGAAUCAAAUGCAAAAAAUAAAAAAAGAACACGAAUAACAUGAAAAACAUUAGAACUCAAAUUCUAGCAACAUGAAUUCUAAUCUAGACCAUAUUUCAGGAAAUAAAAAGCACAUAAAGGAUGGAAAUCAAUCAUUGAACAAUAAUUAAGCAUCAAGCAUCGAUGAUUAUCAACCAAUAAUCACGAUUGAGUCAAAAUAAGUUUUGGUUCAAAACCAAAACCCUAUGAUUAAAACCCCCAUAAAACUUGUUAUUGAUACAAAUGAGCUCUAGACUACUAAUUAAUCAAGUCCAAUGAAGUGUUUAAUGCAAAGGAAUGGACCAAAACUGGUCCAAAACAUAGAGAUAAGCCAAUGUUAUUCCCAAGAACAUAGAACUCUGCCUUAGAAAACCCGGCUAUUGUCAAGCCACCAAAACUGGCAUUUUCAACCACUAAAAAAUGCUUUCUUCAUUUCAAAAAGUCACACUACCAUAACCAAACAUGUUUGAAUAAAAAAUAAAUAAAUAACAUCAAAAGCAUGCAAGAGGUUCAAAACUACAAACUUAAAAUAGCCUAUAUAUUUAUGCAAUUUGGAUUCAAUUUUCUUCCUAAACCUUCAAAAAAACCCAACCAAAACCUAGAAACUAAGAACAUGCAUUAGUCAACAUAAAAAACAUCAUAACCUUGCUGCCACAUCUAGUAGAUUUCAAAAGUACUUUAUUUCAUCAAAACUCAACCAACAAACAUCACUUAAGUAUUCAGAGACAUUAACAAACAACUCAAAGCAGGAUUUAAACAAUAAAACAACCUUUUUAUGUAUUAAUCAAAAUCAAAACUAAAGAACAUCAUAACAGUAAAGCAAGUUUGAAAACAUCAUUAAACAUGUAAAAUAAGUUAGAGGUAUGUCUCAUGGACAUCACCUAUUAGGUUAGUUAGGGAUUAUAUCUUUCAAAAAUUCAGAAUAGUUAUUGCCUUUCUUCCUUUUGAAAAUCCAAUCUUUUUUCAAUCUUUAACUUAUCCUUUUAGCUUUUGGAUGCCAAGUGUCGCAUGUGGGCGCAAGAUGUCGGGGGGUCAUGGGAGUCACCACCUAGUUUUUUGGUUCAAAGUCGCUAGGAAACUCGGGUAUACUGGUUUUAUCAGAUAUUCCAAGGGUAAGAGACUGAUUGUGGUUGGGUAAGGUACUAGUACCCCUAAUGCACCCUACCUGAGGUAAAGUGUAUUGUGUGGUUUAAAGGUUUUUAUGGAUUCCUAAAUGGUGGUAUGUCUAUGACUUAAGAUGGGGAUUUAUUCAUGUGAAUAAAUCUGGUUUUUUUUAAUUUAUUAUGGUUGUAGACAAGAUCCAUAUAGGUGCCCUAACAGGGUUCACCUAUCUUUAAAGGUGGAACGACUUUCCACAACUCAUGUAUUGUGAUGAAAAAUACUCCCAAUUAAAAUUGGUGAAUGUUUAAAAUAAUUUUGAGAAUUUUCUCGUCAACUCAUGAUAUUUAAAUACCAGCAUACUUGUAAGUUCAACAUUUAUACCAAAAAAUUGACAAUUAUUUCUAAUGAAUUAAUUUUUUUUAUGGAUUUUUGAAAUAUUGACAAAGUUCUAAUGAAUUCAAUAAACUGGUUAUUAAACCCAAAAUGCAUGGAAAUAUACUAAACAAAGUGGUAUUUUUUGGCCAUGUAAUAUCAAAGAAGAGUAUCUAUGUGGAUCCAAAGAAGAUAGAAACAAUAUUGAAAUGGGAAAGACCUACAACUGUGACUGAAAUUCAUAGUUUUCUAGGCUUAGCUUGAUAUUAUAGGAGAUUUAUAGAAGGAUUUUCAACGAUAGCCUCUCCAAUGACUCGACUAACUUGGAAGGAAGUUAAGUUUGAAUGGUCAAAAGAGUGUGAAACAAGUUUUCAAGAGUUAAACUCCAGGCUAACUUCAACCCCAGUAUUGGCUUUACCAAAAGGACAGGAGGGAUUUGUUAUGUAUAGCGAUGCUUCCAAUAAGGGUUUGGGUUGUGUAUUUAUGCACCACGGAAGGGUAAUCGCUUAUGCAUCUAGACAGUUGAAACCAUAUGAGAUAAACUAUCCGGUACAUGAUUUGGAGCUGACAGUUGUGGUGUUUGCUUUGAGGAUAUGAAGACAUUAUUUGUACGGGGUACAAGUGCAGAUUUUUACAGAUCACAAAAGUUUAAAAUAUUUGAUGUCACAAAAAGAAUUGAAUAUGUGACAUAGGAGAUGGAUGGAGCUAAUCAAAGAUUAUAAUUGUAUUAUUGACUAUCACCCGGGGAAAGCAAAUGUGGUGGCAGAUGCUCUGAGUCGAAAGAAUAAAGCUUUUAUUAGUGGUUUACUAGUGCUAAGUGAGCUAAAUGUGCUUUUGGAUGUGACUUCAGGAGGAAUAUUACUAGCAACGUUAGUGCUAUAAUCUAAAAUGAGAGAAAAGAUUCGAAAAGCUUAAGGUGAAGAUCCUGAAGUGAUGAAAGAAAUGAACAUUGUAUAAGUAGGCCAAGACUCUUUAUUUCGUAGUUAUGGGAAACAUAAUAUAUUUACCUGAUGAUAAGGUUUUAAAAAGUGAAGUCUUAAAAGAAGCUCAUGAGUCUAAAUUGGCGAUCCAUCCAGGAAGCACGAAAAUGUAUAGAGAUUUGAAGGAGAGUUACUGGUGGCCAAAAAUGAAGAGGGAGAUAGCAUAAUACGUGGUCAAGUGUGCCAUAUAUCAGCAGGUGAAUGUAGAGCAUCAAUGGCCAGUUGGAGAAUUACAAUCUCUUUCGAUUCCAAAAUGGAAAUGGGAGAAUAUCACUAUGAAUUUUGUAUCUAGGUUACCGAGAAGCAGGAAAGGACUUGAUGUCAUAUGGGUGAUCGUGGAUAGACUGACAAAGUCUUCUUUAUUUUUGCCUAUGAAGAUGGGGGAUUCGGUUGAAUAACUAGCUCAAUUAUAUAUUAAAGAGGUGGUGAGAUUGCAUGGUGUACCAGUUUAUAUAGUUUCUGAUAGGGAUCCUUGGUUUACAUCAAGGUUAUGGCCGAGUAUACAACGGGCUUUGGGUACCAUAUUGAAUUUAAGAAUGACUUUUGAUCCACAGACUGAUGGGCAAUCUGAAAAGACAAUUCAGAUUUUGGAAGAUUUGUUGCGGCUUGUAUUCUAAAGUUUGGAGGUCAAUGGGAGGAUCACUUGCCAUUAGUAGAAUUUACUUAUAAUAAUAGUUAUCAAUCUACUAUUGGCAUGGAACCAUAUGAAGCAUUGCAUGGAAGGGGAUGUUGAACUACAGUAUGUUGGGAUGAAGUUGCGGAAAGAAAAUUAUUAGGACCUGAACUGGUGCUGAUCACGGUUGAUAAGGUGAAGGUGAUAAAGUAAAUGAUGAAAGAAGCUCAAGACCGGCAAAAAAGUUGUGCUGAUAAUUGACGGAGACCUCUAGAGUUUCAAAUUGGAGAUGUGGUAUUUUUAAAAGUUGCACCAUGGAAGCAUGUGAUUCGGUUUGGAAUGAAAGGCAAAUUAGCACCCAGGUAUAUCGGGCCAUAUAAAAUUAUAGAAAGAAUUGGGACGGUCCUAUCGAAUAAUACUGCCACCACAUUUAGAUAUGAUACAUAAUGUGUUUCAUGUUUCGAUGCUGCGGAAAACAGACUUGGAUCUUGCAUGAAUUUUGCCACAAAUUUCGAUGGAAGCACGGGAAGAUUUAACUAUGGAGGUACAACCAGUGCAAAUUAUGGACCGAAGUAUAAAAGAGUUACGAAAUAAAAAGGUGUCGUUAGUAAAGGUAUUGUGGAGAAACUCUCGAAUAGAAGAAGAAACCUAGGAGAGAGAGUCAGAAAUGAAGAAGAAAUAUUCUAGAUUAUUUUUUUACAUAGGUAUGAAUUUAGAGGACAAAAUUUUUUUUAGGAGGGGAGAAUGUAAACCCCCCGGAUGAAAAAUAAUAAAUUGACUAGUUUUAUGUAAAAUAAAACAUUUCAUAACUGUUGAUCGGGUUAUUAGACAAUUCUAAAAAUUUACGUGGAGCCUUCUAAUAUGAUGCCUUAGCUUGGGUUAAAAUUUCAGAAUUGUUGGAGAAAUUCAGAAAUUUGACAAAAAAUCACAAUUUGACAAAAAAUCACAAUUUGACUAGUUUUACGUUAUUGGACGUAAUUUUCAAUCCAAUCCUCAGAUUGAGCUGAAAUUUUACGAGGGACUUUAAACUAUAUUGAAUAAAAUUUGGUUAAAGUUUUAGGAUGAACGGAGCUCGGUAUUGCUAAAAAACAAUAAGGACCGUCAAAUAGAAGUAAAAGUACUCAUUAAGGGUAAAAUGAUUAUUUGCCAUUAAAAAAUAAAACAAAUCAGCUCUCCUUUCCUUUUAUAUGCUGCCGACUGUGCAGAAGCAGAGUGGGAAAAGAAAGAAAAGAAAAAAAGCAAGUGAGAAAGAGAGAAAAGUAAGGAAAAAAUAAGAAAAGUGAGAGAAUAACCUUGUAAACUUACAAAGUCCAACUUAUAAAACACUAAUCUAAGGAAGAAUCAAGUGAAGGAAGGAGGAAUUGAGAGAGAGAAUUUGGCUAACCUUGGGAGAGAAGAGAAAUUGGAAGAAAGUCAAUUGGUAAGUAUGAGAAGUUUGGAUUUAAUGUUUGAUUUAGAUGUUUUUAAGCUAAAUUGAUUAAGUUAGGAAGUAAUUUCAUGAAAUUUUACUUUAAUUUCCCUUAAAUCCUUGAUUCUUGAACUUAGGGUUCUUAUGGGAAUUUGGGGGAAUUAGUAAGGGAAGGAAAAAUGAUGAAGUUGAAGUGGAAUAGCAUGAAAACAAGUUGAAAUAACAAGUAAAUGAAGAAAAAUUUGGGGGAGGAAAAAGAAGAUGACAUUUGGCCAAAUGAAGGAAAAGUGGAGGAAUGAGUUUUGAUGUUAAUUUUUAGGAAACUAUGUUUAAUCAUGAUAUUUGAAAUAUGCAAGAAUGACUAAAUAAAGAAAUAACAUUAAAGUUGAGAAAAAUAAGUAAAUUCAAUUUAAAAGAGAAUUGAACUAGUUAAAAAGAAAGUAUGAAGACAAGAUGUUUAGAUUGUGUUUGAAUAUAGUUCUUACAUAUGUUUAGAUAAAAUAAAUAAUAUGAUGUGAAGGCAUAAAGAAUAGAAGGAUUAUUUGAUGGAGGAAUUAUGAACAUAAAGCAAGAAAAGAAGUCACUUUUUUUUAAAUAUGUGGUUGUAUGUGAAAUGAUGGUGUUAUGUUUGAGAAUGAAUUUUUAUCAGAAUGAAUUAAAACAAAAUGUGCUUUGCGUUUCGGCACGUAAGAAAAAUAUUGAUGUACUAAUGAUAUAAUGAUAUUUGAUUGAUUCAGGAGUUGUGUCUGGAGCUGGUUAUCAAACAGGAGGAGCCGGGUCAUCACGAGCACAAGGUAAGUGAUUCGUCACCUUAUUUGUAAGUUUUCCUUAAAUAUCUAUGUUGUUUAUUUAAUUGAUGUUAAAAGAAUGAAGCAAAUGAAUAAAUUAAGUGAUUAUUACAACUGAAUAAUUGGUAAUUUAUGUGAAAUUACCGGAAUUACUAUUUGGCUUACAAAAGAGGUUAGCCGGAUGCUGGGCAAUUCAUAUGAAAUUACCGAAUUGAUUUUGGCAACCAAAAUAGGUUAGCCAGAUUCCUUGGGUAAUUAUGAGAAUUACCGGGUUUAUUGGUUAACAAAGAGGUUAAUCAGAUAUGGGGUAAUUCGUAUUGAAUUACCGGAUUGAUUGGCUAACAAAAGAGGUUAGCAGGAUGAUGGGUAAUUUAGAUGGAAUUAUCGGAUUUAUUGGUAACUGAGGAAGGAUAACCAAAUUUGUGGGUAAUUAUAUGAAAGUGUUAGAAUUAUUGGCAAUCGAGAUGAGUUAGCUGGAUAUUUAAUUUUUGAAAAGAUUAUGUAAAUUAAUUGAAUGAAGUUAGAAGUAUUAAAUUUCAGAGGUUAAGAGUAAAAUAAUUAAUAUAUGACUAAGAUAUUGAGUAAAUUAAUUAAUGUGGUUAUUGUUGAAACAGGUACGCGAGGUGAUGCAAAUCGUUAGAUGUAGGAUUUUUCUGUUUAUGAAUUAUUAUUUUGGAAUGUAAUAUUUAUGUCUUUGUUUUCUUUGAAAACCCUUAUGUUGUCAAAAUCAGAUAGAAGAUGUGUAGUAUGUAAUGAUUGUAUUACCUUCGUGUUGUAAAAAUCAAAUAGAAGAUGUGUAAUAUGUAAUGGAUGUAUUAUAUAUAUGUAUAGAUGUUAGUAUGGUAAAUCAUUUUCAGAAUGAUAAGAUAAGUUUAUAAUAUAAAGUAGUAGAAUACAUUAUAUGUUUUAAGACAAUAUGACUCUUAAUCUUAAUAUUUUAUCCAUUUAGUCUAAAUGCAUAUAUGUAGUUAAUUAACAUUUAUUACUUUUUAGUGAUGAAAUUGUUUAUCUUUCAAUUUGUUUUAGUAAUUCUUUUAUGUUGACUUGUUAAUUCAUAUUAUGAGACUUGAAUAUGUUGAUAACUAUAAGUUUUGAGAGAUUGAUUGAUGAAUGGGAUGUGAUCCAGGAUGAUUGGAUCAAGAUGGAAGUUGUAAUGGCAUAUAAUAGAAGUGUUGUUGAUAACUUGAUACCAACAAAAAUAGAGGAAACUCUGCCAAACUUUUCAAAAAAUAAAAUAAAAAUCCAUAAUCUUAGACAUAUUAUUCAAUACUUGACAUUCGUAAAGAAAUGUUUGAGAUUUUAUGACAUUAUAAUUUGAGGAUGUUAUAGUUUGGUACUAAGACAAACCAUGUAUUUUAUAUUUUAAACAAGAUAUGAUUUUUAUUUUUAUUUUUGGAAGACUUGGUCGUAUGUUAUUUAAGAUAAAAUUGUAUUUUUGAAAAAAGAGAUUUUUUUUUUGUUGUUUUUGUAAAAGGUAAAACGAUUCGUUUAACAUCGAAGAAGCGUCUCGUGUGUGUGUCACGAUUUUAAAUAUUAAAUACGUGAUGAUUGGAAAAUAUGGAGAACUCAAAAUUAAUUGCAAGAUGAUCUUCCAAAGAUUUUGAAAAUGGACGAAGAUAGUGUUUAGUAAAACACAAAUAAAUUAUUUUUAUGAAGGCUAUUUUAACCACGAUAUUAAUUCAAAACAAAAUAUCGUUCAUCAACUUGAAACGAGCAACACCAAAAAUCCACAUGAAUCUUAUUAAUUUCACAAACUUUGUUCAAACUGCGUAUUAAUUCAAAGGAAUUAACACAAACCCAAACAUGCAUCAAUAUUUAAUGUCCAAAAAACAAUCACAAUCUAAUAAUAAACUCAUAACUCACCACAAAUACUCAAAUCACCUCAAAAUCAAUAAUACACAUCAAACCAAAUUAAAAGUGUCCAACAGUCCAUAAAAAAUACACAAUAAUAAGCAUUUUUCCUAAAAUUUCACAACAUUGUAGCAAUUUAUCUGAAACAAUAUUAGUAAUUAAAAAACUUCAAUAUAGAAAAGCGGUGAUGUAUACAAGUGGAUUUGUCUAAGCAUGAAAGCCGUUCAAGAGAGGAGUCACCAAUAUAUAUUCCUUUCUUAACUCUCAAUUAUAUAUAUUUCUUAUCACUUUAUUCAUGAACUCUUGAUAAAUCAUCAGACCACCGCCAGGACCUUAAAUCCAGACCUUUGCCUACCGCAUUAAUUGACAAGAAUAUUUCAAGCAUUUAGAACCUUAAAGAUACCAACACAAAAUUGGGGCAGAUUUUUUUUUUUUUUGAAAGAUGUGUAUAUUAUUUAAACGCCAAAGCCUGGCGGGAGUAGUACAGAAACUACAUAAUAUCUUACUAUGGCAAAAAGCCAUAAAUAGGAUAAAGCGCAGUAUAAGAAAAACAAAAGCAAAGAAAACCUUAGAAUAGCCAUCCGAAUGAGCUCAAAGCUAAACAAUCCUCUACAAAACAAAAAUGAAAAUAACGCAAAGACAUAGUGGGAGAAGACACAAGAGCAAGGCCAUAGAAAAAAAAGUGUAGUCAAAGCCAGGCAACAAAAUCACUUGAUCUUUGCACUCCUUGUUUAGCCAUGCAAUCUGCCAUGCAAUUACUUUCACGGAAGAUAUGGGAGAAGGUGAUUGAACCAAAAUAUGCUUUCAGCCUAUUAACAGAGGAGAACAGAUUAUGAUGCUUCCAGGGACGGUUGUGAGGCUUAUUCAUCCAGCUAAUAGCAUUGACAGAGUCAGAUUCUAUGAUGAGGUGUUGAUGGUGGAAGAGACAAUUAGAUGCUGAAAGUUCAAUGGCUUUGACAAUAGCCCUUAACUCAGCAAUAUUAGAGUCUAAAAUACCAACUGAAACAGAGAACAUACCGAGAAGAUGUCCAUGAUGAUUUCGCAGUACACCACCUAUUCCAGAAGGGCCUGGCUUACCAAGAGACGAGCCAUCCAUGUUCCAUUUAAGGCUAUUAAUCAUAGGAGGAGACCACAUAUUAUGAAUCCUGAAGGAGUGGGCAUUGGACCACCGAAGUAAGCCAUUUGCCGAUCUGAUCAGAUCUGAAGGGGAGUAUGGGAAAUCAGAAUGGAUAGCUUUUAGCCAUAGACAUAGACAGGUGAUAAUAAGAAAGAAUAUUGAAUCAUAGUCAGGUGUCUUCUGUUGGAAGAUCAGAUCAUUUCGAAGUAGCCAAAGAGACCAUGCCACUGAGAAGAACAACAUCAGCCACGCCUUCCUCUGAAAAUGACCAUGCACCAUGGAAGUCCAUUGAGACCACAAAUCUGAGAAGCUCUUUGGGCAACACCAAACUAAACCCCACCACUUAAUGAUUUUGGACCAAAUCAGCCAAUGCUUAUGGCAUUGAAGCAGGAUAUGGUCCACCGAUUCUGCCUCCACUAGGCAGAUAGGGCAAUUUGAUUCUGAGCUACUCAAUAUACCCCUUCGAACCAACAUGCAUCGGGUGUUGAUUCUGUUAAUGAUAGCCAUCCAGCAAAAGAUCUCUACCUUAGGAGGGACAAUACCUUUCCAAAUUCCAGCAAACGAGAAGGCAUUGUUUGUGGAAGGCUUUGGGCUUAACAAUCCAUAGAGAGAUUUAACUGAAAAUCUUCCUGAAUUAUUGUCCUUCCAUAUUAGUCUAUCCUCUCCAUCUUUGUCCAUGAGUACAGUCGAUAGGAUUGCAUAAAGCUGAUCGAGCAAGCCAAUGCUGCGCCCCCGUAGCGGACGUAUCCAGGAAAAAAACCAAAUCCACUCAUACCCUUCCCACAUUCCCAUUUUAGCAAUGCUGGCAGCUUUGUCAUUGGAUAAUUGGAAAAGAGUAGGGAAGUGCUCUGCUAAACAGUGGUUAUUAAGCCAGCAGUCAAGCCAAAAUUUAGUCUUUUUGCCAUUUCCGAUAAGAACCAGAGAUUGCUCUUUCACAAUAUCCUGCAGGUUAUUAUUUCUCACACAAUGAUUGACAAUUCGGGACCAUGUAGUUGCAGCUCCUGGAAUAGGAGCUUGCAGCAGCAGAUUAGAGCAAUUGGUGAUGUGGAUGCUUUUGAUCACAUCCUUCCACAAACUUGAUUCCUCCGACCCAAACCUCCAUAACCAUUUAAAGAGCAGAGCUGUGUUUUUGUCCCUUAAGGGACCAAUCCCAAGGCCACCCGCUUGUUUUGGAAGAGUAACAGUGGCCCAGCUGACAUUGCAUAUUUUGUGUCUUUCCUCAUUUCCAGACCAGAGGAAGGAUCGAAGUUUGUGAUCAAUUAUGGAGGCAACCGAAGCAGGCAUAGGGAACAUAGAUAGGUAGUAGAUGGGGAGAUUGCUGAGCACAUAUUUAAUCAAGCACAAACGACCCCCAAUAGAUAAGAACCUGCAUUUCCACGAAGCCAACCGGAAACUGAUAUUAUGUAAAAUAGGAUUCCACAUUGUAGCUCUGCCCAGGUUUCCAUCAAUGGGGAGUCCAAGAUACAUGAGAGGCAGCUGAUCCUACUUGCAUCUAAGAAGCUGAGCCGUGAAGUUACAUGUAUGAGCUGCUACACCCACACCGACAAUGCUACUUUUAUAAAAAUUGACCUUCAACCCCGAGACAAGUUCAAAGCAUAAUAGGAUACGUUUAAUGUUCUGCAUGCUAUGUAAAGAGUCUGAACUGAAUAUAAGGGUGUCGUCCGCAAAUUGUAAGUGAGAUAUGACAAGCCCUGCAUUGCCGAUGUUUAUACCUGAAGUCAAACCCAAAUCACAGCCACGCUGCAACAUACAACUCAACCCCUGGACUGCAAUGUUGAAGAGAAACGGAGAGAGAGGGUCUCCUUGGCGUAGGCCUUUAGCUAAGCAGAAUUCCUCCGUGGGAGACCCAUUAACAAGCACAGACAUUUUUGCCGCUGAUAUGCAUUGCAUAAUCCACCCUCGCCAUCUAUUGCCAAAGCCCAUACUAGCCAUGAUUUCAUUAAUAUAUUCCCAUAACACCGAAUCAAAGGCUUUGUGAAAAUCUAAUUUGAAGAGAUAAGCUUUACCCUUUUUCUUCUUAAUGAAAGAAAGGACCUCAUUUGCAAUCAAGACGCUGUCUAAAAUUUGCCUCCCUUUGAUGAAAGCAUUUUGAUGAUGAGAGAUGACCUCUGGCAUAACAUGUUUCAACCUGGUUGCUAGAAUCUUUGAAAUGAUCUUGUAUAGGCUGCCAACCAAACUAAUAGGUCUGAAAUCUGAUAGCUUGUUAGCACCUUUAAUCUUCGGAAUAAGAGUAACAAAGGUGCUAUUGAUACCAGCAGGGAGGAGAUUAGUCCGAUAGAAGUCAUCAAUCAUCUGGAUAAUAUCCUCACCUAUAAUGUUCCAUGCUUUCUUGAUGAAAAGGAAGUUAAUACCAUCAGGACUUGGAGCUUUAUUUCUAUCACAAUCCCACACAGCUGUUUUAAUCUCUUCUGCAGAAAAUGGCAAUUCAAGAGCAGCAGAGGAUGAAGGCUUCAGCCUUGAGAAUUCCAGGUUUGAACAUGAAGCUCUAGGUCUGUUCUGGUGGGAGUAUAGAUUGCGAAAAAAGUUAAAGACAACUAGCUUCACAUCGAUUGGUUUAGAUAGGAUCUGUCCAUCAACCUCCAGGCAUGCAAGCUGAUUCUUUUUCUGUCUUGUUGUUGCAGCUAAAUGAAAGAAUCGAGUAUUUUUAUCUCCAAGCUUACACCACUGAAUUCUUGAUUUCUGAUGCCAGGCAGACUCUUGAGCUCUAUACAGGAUUUUGAGUCGGGAGGCAAUGGAAUUACUUCUAAUCAGUUCAUUAGCACUCAAGACCCUGCACUCAUUUUCACGAUCCAUUGAGUCAGCUUCAAGUUCCAGUUCGGCAAUUCUGUUAUUCAUGCUUCCUAUAUUAGCUUUACUCCACUGCCGACAUCUCUCUUUCAACAUCUUUAGAGCUGGGACCAUUUUCCUUGUGCCAGAUUUUGAAACCAUGAUUGAACUCCAAAAGCUCUGAAUCAUAUUCCUAAAAUCAGACACAAGCCACCAGCAAUUCAUGAAGCGAAAGGGUUUCGGGCCCCAAUUUGUAGAGUCUAGCAACAGAUGCAGAGGCCUAUGAUCAGAUGAAUAUUUUGAGAGACCAAAUAAGGUAGAUGAUGGGAAAGUCUGCAACCAAUCCCCCGAUACAAAUAUUCUAUCAAUACGGCUCGCCGCAUUACCUCGAGACCAUGUAAAUUUCCUCCCAUUUAAGGGGAGCUCCAUAAGAUUACAAUCAUCAAUGCAAUUUUUGAAUCGUGUCAUGGAAGAUGUUAUUUGUGAGCUGCCUUUCCUAUCUGAUGGGAAUAAGGUUUCAUUAAAAUCACCCGCAAGACACCACGACUUGCUAACACUAUCCCUGAAUGUAACAAGAUAAGUCCACAACUCAUUCUUCAGGUUCCCACCAUUCGGAGCAUAUACAAAAGAGACUAGGCAAUCUAGAUUGGACCGAGUGAAGCUGCCUUCAAUAUGCAAAAUACGGCCAUUCAUAGCAACAGAACAGCUAGAGACACAAAAAAGAUCCGGAUUCCAUAUACAUAAUAUUCCCCCCGAAAGGCCUAAUGAGGGAACUGCAUACCAAGCCCUAGGAUGACGACCCCAUAUAGCAGUAAUAGUGAAAUCAUUCAAAGUUUCCAAUUUUGUUUCCAAAAUACCCAGGAUAUGAAGAUCAAAUUUUCGACCAAGAUUCCUCAAACAUCUCUUUUUUUCUCUCCCCCCUAAGCCACAUACAUUCCAUACAAUUAUACUACCCAUAGGAGUGAUUACAGAGACCAUACCUGCAGACUAUUUACGGAAGCAAAUCACGGCUUCUUCCUUAGGAUCCACUCUUCCUGUUCUCGGUCUAGGAAUCCCUGCAGUGUCUGAGUCAUGAGUGUGCUAUCGUCAUGCCCUUGGAGAAUAGCUUGUCCAACUUCCCAGCAAGCAGUGGCUUCUGCCCUAUUAUCAGAAUGUGCAGGCUCAGUUGCUUCAUCACCAGCAUUGGUGUCGGGUCUGUAUCUUGAACUACUUGCCUCAUCCUCACCAAUCAAUUCCUUACCAGCUUUGAUAAUAGCAUUUAUGUUCUUUAUCCCAUUAUCAGAAACUGAGUAUUCAACAAUUACGGUCUCUGAUUGCUUACCGCUUUGUUUUCCCAGUUGACGUGAUUUCCUCCUCCUAAGAGAGUGUGAUCUGCGUCUGAGCUUCGUUGCUUUUUUUCUGUGGGUUUUCCUGUCUCCUACUUCCAGAGCACUAAGCUCAUAUGGAUCAGCAAUAGGAGUGAUGAAGGUUGUAAAAGAUGGCCCAAUGCUCGUUGAUUUCUGCUUUUUCUUACGCCCCAUCUGCUUUAGGAGUCCACUGUCAUAAUUUAUAUGUUGAUUCAGCCCAUCCUUAGCAGUAAAACAAGAAACUUUUUGCAUAGCCACCCCUCUGCAUGCAACUGAAUCCACCUCAACAUAUACGUAAGGUACCAAGGCUAACUGGUUAUCGCCUUCGUACGUACUCUCAUCAAAUAAAACCGCAUGUUUGCAGAUUUCAGUAAUUUCUGGGUAAAGGUACCACGGUGAAACUUCAGACGUGGUGAGUGUGCUAGCAAGCUGAGUUUGGGUGCCCAACAAACCAGUGAAUUCGGAUUCAAAUUCGGGUCUUUGUUUUGUCUCUUUGUGAGUCGUUGCAGCUUUAUUAGUUUCCUCAAAAAAAUCAUCUUCAUCGUCAUCGGAUAGCACAGAUGUUGAGCACAAUGAUACAUCCAUGGAGUGUUUGACUGUUGUGAGAGAGGGGAUAAACUCACCUUUGAUUUCUUUCAAACUGACCUCAACCUGCACUCCAUCAAGCUGGAGCAACACUUGAUCAUGUAAAGGUUCCAGCUUUGUGGUUCGAAUAAGAACCCUAAUACCUGAUAUGGACCCCUGACUAACACAAGAAGUGUCGUAUCCUACAAUAUUUCCCCAGUUCUGAAGCAAAAUAUUGAUACAGUUUCUGUUCCACCCUUCCAUUGGCAAACCAAAUAUGGAGAUCCAAGCAAAUCUGUCAGAUGCUCUAGUCCUUGUUUCCCACUGUCUGAGAUUGCUGAAUAGAGAAUGCAGCACAGAUACUUUAUUCCUUUGUUCUUGCACUGAGGCUAACUGAUCCACAUAGGUAAUAAUCACCUGGCUAGCUCCCAAAAAACGAAAGCUCACAGCUUUGACACUUGAUUUUAAAACCGUUGCCUCCAGUGUUGCUACAUCCACAUUUGGCAAGAUAUUUCCCACUAAGCUCCUAUGCAGAUUUUUCAUACCAUGAAAAAUUGGGGCAGAUUUUUCAUACCAUGAAAAAUUGGUCGUAAUAAGAACCUUUUUUUUUUCCUGGUCCUGCUCGACUUGGAAAGGGGUCCUUGAGGAUCCAAUUUGGAGUAUCUUGUGGGUUUAGUCAAAAAGGUCAUUCUCAGUCUUCACACUUCAUGCACAAGGAAAGAAUAUGUUUAAUUCGUCAAUCGACUCAUAGCUAACUCUGUAACAAAUGUUUGGGAUGAAGGGAAAAGUAUAGCUUUUUCUAAUUAGAGAAAGAAAUUGCAUAAACUGUGAAUGCUGUAAUUAUUUUCAAAGAACUUAACCAUAAAUCUACCCUUCUUGCAAGGAACAAAGCCUUCUUCUCUAUAUUUUCAAAGAAUGAUAUAAUUAUUAUGGUGAAUCAUGCAUGCAUAUCCAGAAUUUGAUAUUUCUUAAUUGAAUUUUGGAAAAGUCGUAAUACUUGGUAAAGCCUUUGGAUCGAUAGUUUCUCUGAGAUGUGAAUGGAAUUAACAACAUAGAGAAUAAUAAAAAAGAAAAAGCAACAGAAUCAAUCAUCAGAAGUUGUGAGAAUUAUAUCUUUCUUUGAAGAUUUUGAUUUUGACCACAGUGAACCUAUAAGCUUAACUAGAGAGGCUUCUAUGAUUUCUAUAUAUACGGACUAGCUUGGCUUCAAACCAUAUGUACAAGUCAAGCUCAAACUCAGAACCUCGUUAAACUGUUUCUUCUUAUUAUUUUUUAGUGUCAUUUUGCAAAUGGCUCGCCAAGCAGAGCGCCUUUCCAAGAUUGGGUUGGAAGGACUUGCACUAAUAGAUGAGUGGUACGAGUGCCCUAGGAGGUCUUCAACUCCUCAAGAACACCAUCAGCAACGAUAUGACUAUUGUGGAAUCCAAGUUCCCAUGAUGAAAAUGGAUGUUAUCAACAACAAGGAGGCAGCUAAACAUUAUGGUGGGGUGGUGAUUAUGGAUUAUCGAAAGAAAAAGUUACUCUAUUGAGCUCUUUAGUGAUAAUGUAUUGGGCCUUGCUUUGCUUGGUUAAGUUAAUUACCAAGCAUAAUUAAGUCGUUUUUAACUUUAUUGUUUUCUUCUUCUUUUUCCUAUGUUUUAGAGUCAGCUACUCCAAAAGAUGAAAAAGUAUGAGUGCCUUAAAGUGAUUUGCUGCACCUCUUAUUUCUCUAUGAUUUGUUGGGUUUCUUGAAAUACAUGACAUAGUGAAAAUAGUUUUUUCAAGUCUCAUGGAUCUCAUUAAACAACAUAAAUUUAUUUAGGAUUUGUGCGAAAAUUAUAUGAAGAUAGUUCUUCGUCCUAGAAUUUGAUCAACACUUGAAGGCUGUGUUUUCGUAAAUCAAGUCCUUACUUGAUUUUUCUAAAUCUAGAAUUUUAAUCUCAUGUUCUAAUUAUAUUAUAGUUUUCAAUUUCAAAAACUUAUUUACAAUCAAUUUGUUAUUACCUACUUUUGACUCCACGAAAAAUCAAGAAAAGAAAAAAGAAAAAAUAGAAAGAGAAAAUCCAAAAUACAAGAGGAUAUACAUGAAAAAAACCUAAAAGAUUACUCAAGUUGAUGGUGAAGGACCAAAUUACUAGUGGAAAAGUUGGAGGACUAAAAUGUUCAAAACUACUAUAAUUAACAACCCAAUUCUAAUUGACAAGGUUCCUUUUGGUGAAAAUAUUUCUAUUAGGGUAAAGAAAUACAAAUUUGGAUAGGUAAGGACUUAAUGAGAAUUUUGCAAGGCUUAAUUAAUUUUAUUGAGGACUUGAUUACUGGGAAAAUCAGUUUUUAGAGUUAAUUUAGGUGUUAAUUGAAAUAAAUUAAAGUUCAGAGACUUAAUUGGUUUUUUAGGAGGUUUAAUUGGAUGAAUCAAGGGCUUAAUUGUUAGAAUAUUAAAGUUUGGUAUGCAAUUAGGAACUUGAUUGAAGAAUUCUAAAACCAAGAACAAAACUGAAAAAAAAACGCAUGAAGUGGUAUCAGAAUCUAUUAUCCUUUUAUUAUUAACAAAACGGAAGCCAUAACUUACUGUUUAUACUGUAAUAUUAGGAUCUUCUCUGCCUUCUCCUCUCCAAAGGCCAUUGAGAGGUACAAUGUCCAGAAUGCAUCUAAGGAUAACCAUAUGUCCAUAUCCAUAAGAUCUCAAUGGAUUGCCUCUCACUACAGAAUCGCCUCUCACUACAGAAUCGAGCACAUCUUUAAGCUAGAAUAAAGUGCCUUCACUUAUUAUUUAGCAUUAUUGCGCAGGACAAGUCUUCACUGCUUAUUUCCUUAACAGUUUUGUCACUAUAAAAAAUUCAAUGAAUACAAACGGAUUUGCUGAUUGAAUUUUUCUAUCGGUAUUUUAUGGUGUUAUUUACCAACCAAAUUUUUUCCCUUGCUAAAAGGAUAAUGUCCAGAACGCUUCUAAGGAUAACCAUAUAUGCAUAUCUAUAAGAUCUCAAUGGAUUGCCUCUUACCAUAGAAUUGUAAAUAAUGAAGACUAUUUUACAAGGUUUUUAUCCUACAUUUGAAAAAACACAACUUAUUUCUUGUAAACAUAGAGUCUAUAUAAGGUUUUAUAUUACACAUUGAAAAAAUAAAAUAUUUAUCUAGUAUUUAUAUAGUAAACUUUGAUACGUGAUAGUAACCAAAACAAAAGGGGUAGUGGGCUUGCGUGUAUAAAGUUGAGCCGAGCAGGAGAAAAACCUCUGAUUACUCUCCGACGUGUGAGGCAAUGCCUUUCUGAACCUUUUGUCUCUAGCAAUAAUUUGUUUUUGGCUCUUAAAUUGAAACCACAAUUUUUUUAAAACUUAGAAUUAAUUUUCUAUUAGUCACAAAAUCCUAACAACUCUUUUAUUUUAAAACGUUUUUAACAUUUACAAUUCUUUAACUUCCUAACAGCUCUUUUAUUUUUUUGAAUUGUUGUAAAAACUCUUUAAUUUUCUAAUUUAUUUUCUGCCUAGUUGUUCCAUUUUAACAACCUAUAUAUGUCAUGCACUCUUACAAUCAUAGUGUGCUGAAAAAACCAUAGUAUUUUUCUGUGUUUGCAAAACUUGCUGGCAUUUCCUUUCGAUCUUGGUCUAGCUGUUUCCGUAACCCUUGUUUUAGAAAAAAUCUUGUUGAAAUCUGGAAUAUAACCUUGUGUUGAGAAAAUAUAUUUAAGGACAAUGUUUGUGCAUGCCUCAAGUUUUAUUUUAUUUCUAUUCUUCAUCUUAUUUUAUUACAACAUCCAGCACAUCCUUAAGUAAAUAAAGAAAGCUAGAAUAAAGUGGCCUCAGUGAUUAUUUAGCAUUAUUAAGUAGGCCAAGUACUCUUCACUGCUUAUUUCCUAUUAGUUCUGUAUUGUGGAAUUGCACUUACAAAUAAAGAACUUGUUCUUGAUAUUUUCGUACAGAAUUUCUCUCUCGAAUAGUCGGUCAAUAAAGUCACUUCGUUUAUUCGGAUUUGAGGCCGGCCAUGAGAUGGAGAGGUUGUGUCACAUUAAUUAUGUCAUGUUACUUAGGUUAACUAGAAUAAGAAAUAAAGAUAUAGGUUUUGGAAAGAAUAAAGAUCAGUUAAAGAAGGAAAAAAAAAAAGAAUAGAAAAAAAGAUUAUCAAAAAAAGAAUCAGAUUCACCAUUAAACUAAAGAGUCUCAUCGAUUCUACGAAACUUGUCGGAAGGAAUCAUUUGUUCAAUAAUUGAAUGCGAUUUUUGCUUUAUAUAUAUUUUAGGAACUUUGCACUAGAAAGGGAACAUUUGUGCCACCAAGUACUAACACUAGAAAGGGAACCUUUUUUUCCCAGUGUUAAUAGAUACUUUUUUUUAUAUAUUUUUGACAUUUCUCUUCUUGAUUUUUCUUAUUAAAGCAUGUUUGUUUUUGCAUUUCAAAAAUGCUUUGAAAACAUUUUGAAAAUUUUUAAUCGUUUUCUUUACUUCAAAUUUUAGGGGAGACUUUUGAUAAUAUUUUCAACAUUGUAGCCGACUUUUGGUUGCUCAAUCUUGGUUCUUGAUUGAACUUUCAACUCUUCAAAGAAUUGACCAUUCUUUGUUGUGAAUUUAUACUUCUUUUGCUCGUCUCCAGGUGUAGGCGUUGUGAUCGAGUUGGUUUAUAGUCUUGUUGCCUUGGAGCAAGUCUUUUAUUGUGAUAAGCUCAUUCAAAUCUCAACAAACUUGGGUUAGAUUGAUCUUGGGGUCGCGUAUACCAUUAAAUUCCGCUAGGGUUUGCUUCACUAGACCUUCUCUUGGAUCUAGACUUGUCAUACUAGUCUAUAAAUAUAUAUAUUAGAACAUCCAUAUAAUCUGUCUAGAGCAGAUACUCAUCUAAUUAUGGCAGACCCACAUAUGACAGCUCAGAAUCACCUGUUAUCGCAAACCCAAUUACAUCAUUAAUGGUUUUUCAAGGUAAGUCAUGAGGAAUUUGAAGCAUAUAAAACGAUAUAACUUGUCCCAAUAUCAUAAAAAUGUUAAAAAAAUGUGAGUAUAUGAACCCAUGAAGCGGGAUCAGAAUCUGUUUUCCUAUUGUUAUUAACAAUACGGAAAGCCAUAACUAACUGUUUGUACUAUAAUAUUGGGAGUGAGAGGUACAAUGUCCAGAAUGCUUCUAAGGAUAACCAUAUCCAUAAGAUCUCAAUGGAUUGCCCCUUACUACAGAAUCUAGCACAUCCUUAAGUAAAUAAAGAAAGCUAGAAUAAAGUGCCUUCACUGAUUAUUUAGCAUUAUUGAGCAGGCCAAGUCUUCACUGCUUAUUUCCUAUUAGUUCUGUAUUGUGGAAUUGCACUUACAAAUAAAGAACUUGUUCUUGAUAUUUUCGUACAGAAUUUCUCUCUCGAUUAGUCGGUCAAUAAAGUAACUUCGUUUAUUCGGAUUAAUUUGAGGCCGGCCAUGAGAUGGAGAGGUUUUGUUAUAUGGAAUCAGAUUCACCAUUAAACUAAAGAGUCGGAAUUAAGGAAUCAUUUGUUCACUAAUUGAAUGCGAUUUUUGUCUUAUAUAUAAUUUAGGAACUUUGCACUCGAAAGGGAACAUUUGUGCCACCAAGUACUAACAAUAACUGUCCAUAGUUUUGCAUGCAUAGACCCUUUUUUCCCGGUGUUAAUAGAUAUUUUCGGACCAACUUGAAAGCAAUUAUUAGAGAUAUCAAUUCAAUCUGAAUUCAAUAUGCAUACAUAUAUAUUACUUUUUUUUUAUUUUAUAUUAAAUAAUAAAUAAUGUUUAGGAAAUAAAAAUCUAAAUGGAUCGAUGAAUAUAAUAUUAGUUUCUAAAUGAUACAACAUAGCUAGAAGAAACUGGAGGUUAUGAUUGGUUAGAAGGGACCUGAUAUAGCUAAAUGAGGGUCAAACCACCAACAAAUUACGUAGAUGACUUAACAUUUACUUUUAUGGUUUAAUAAAAUAGGAAUAGGUUCAAGAAAAGAUAUAUUCAUGUCAAACUAAUAAAGUAUCUAAAACAAGUCAUAGCUUUUUAUCCGACCAUUAGAUAAAUCUCAAAUUUUUACUUAGAUUCCCUAAGCCCAUCUCUAUGGAGGAGCUCUUUGGCAAUCCAUCCUCUAAAUGGAUUUCCUCAAAUUAAAAUGAGAAGAUCCGGCUCAAGCCAAUUUUGUUGUUGUUUUUUUUUUUCUUCAAAAUUUUAUGUUUUAUUUCGGAUUUUCCAUUAUUUUUCAAAUUAAAGAAACCGAGAUAAAAUACCCUGAAUCUUCUUUCAUAAUUUGCUUCCGAUAAGGUGUAGUGUUUUUGCUACUUUUACUUUUGGACCUGACUUGUUUCCUGACCGGUAGAAAUAGCAUUGGUCCAAAAGCACUAGUCCAAAAGCAGGGAAGCUUUUGUUUUCUUUAAUCACAUGAUCCGAUAUUCUCAUUUAUGCCCAACACAAAUUCAUAGAUGUGGCUCUAAUGAUUGGCUGACAACAGUUGUUAAUGAGCAGUGUUUGCGUCCCUUAUUUUUCAGUUUACUAAGUAUUUAGAACAUUCAAUUCCAAUCCAAAGUCGAUAAUAAUAAACUCUUGGUGAUCGGUUUUGUCAUCGAUGGUGAUCGGACGACAAAAAAACAUCCCGGUUUUGUCAUCAAUUAUCGGUUUCCAAUCCAAAGUCGGUUUUUUAUAAAGUUUUCUUAUAUAAAAAGUUUAUUAAGCAUUGAAAACAUCCAAAUCUAACAGUAAAAUUAAUAAACUUUUGAUGAUAAUCUUUUUUUCAUUUUGUGAUGCUUUUAUCGUCAGUAGUGAUAAGAUGAAGAAAAGCUAUUGAUUUUUCUCUCUGCAAUGGUUACUUUUAUCGUACACAAAUGUUGGGUGCUUUUAUUUACAAAAAGGAUCACUGCCUAACAAUAUUCAUUUCACAGCUGUUGUCAACCAAACCUUCCCGAUCUAUAUAAAGGUUGGCUUGGCCUCACACAUAUUAGCCAAGCAAGUAAACCAGCUCGACCUAUAUACAGCUACUUGUCUUGUGUAUUGACUGACAAAUUGUAGUUAACAUGGCACGUCAGGCAGACCGUCUUGCUAAGAUUGGGCUAGAGGGCUUUGCAGCCAUAGAUGAGCACUUCGGCCGGGCCAAGAGGCGGCCACCAGUGCUGAAGGUUCCCUAUGCUCAUCCGACAUAUUACUAUGCAAACCAAAUUCCUGCAACAGAAGUUAUCGACAACAACGAGGCAGCUCAACGCUACAAGGGGAGGGUUUAUCUCAAUUAUCCUAAGGGGAAACCAGUUCCGUUUUAAAGACCUAGUGAUUAAUCACUUAGCUUUCUUGUAUGCAUAACCUCCUCUAGUUGUGUUACCUUUAGUCCUGUACGAUAUUCUCCCUCUGCUAAACGUAGACGAGGAGAGGUUGCUAGAACUCGAGUCCGGAGCUUCUUCUUGCUUCAUCAAAUAAAAUUUCUGUGAUUUAUAUAUUAUAAUUUUCUAUUUGGCUGGUCAAGUAUGCAUUGUCAUAAAUAUCACUCUGCUUCCCUGAUUAUUACCUUAUUCACCUAUUACUUAGCAUGAAAUAUUGAAAGAUUAAUGCAGUCGGAAGCACAACAAUAUAGCUGCAAGCAUAGAAAGACAAAAGAUAAACUGAAAUAAUGUUAAAACACUGAGAAUCCUAAAACCUUAUUUCUAAAAUAUUAAUUUGAUUAAGUUUACCUUCUAAAGAGGUUUACAAUCUCUUUCAUAGACUAGAAAAAUAGGCCAAGAUUCGAAACAAAAUCAGAAUCCCAAAACAUAACGGAAAAUAACAUAAAAUUUAAAAAUAAACAAUAAAUCUGCGAAAAUUAAGGAAAAUAACAAAAUUAUCCCAAAUAAUAACUAAUUAGCCUACUUUAUGGAGAUACAAUGCUCUGAUAACUAUUGAGUGGUUUUUAAUGGGAAAACGGUUUGUAGAAUCUUCUAUAAAAAUUUAAACCUGAUUUAACGGUUAGAAUAUCUCCUGUUAUCAUUAUUUUAGGCUAUUAUUCUAGUCUUGCGAGAUCAUGCUUUCUCUUGGCCUAAACAUCUUUCACUAGUACAUGAACAUAUCUGUUAGUAGUCCGUUUAGGGCAAACAAAUAAUUAAUUUGCUGUUCAAAUGCUUUGAAGCUCUUCAAGGUGUGAUUUCACUGAAUAAUUUCGAGUUUAGAAUUAUCACCUCAUUUUAGAAUUGUCCCGAGCACAAGGAUAAAAUGAUGAGCCAUGGGAAGCGUCUCCGAUAAAGAAAUAAUAAACGGAGUUCAAGGUAAAACAAUAGCUUAGAAAAAAAAAGAGUAGAAAUUUACACGAUAUCUAAGAAUAUCAGCGAUCAUGACCAUGAUUGGAUCAUUUCUGAGUUCUACAACCAAAAUUUCCUUCACAUCUCUUUAACUAAGCUGAUAGUCCAUGAAGAUUUAAGGAAAAACAUGAUUCCCAAUCCGAGCCAUAUGAGCAAGUGUAUCUAGUAAAAAUAUCUUAUCUCCCAUGAAAAUGAUAUUAGUAAGCCUCCCUCUGAAGCAUUGCUUUACACAUAUCUUUUACAGAAAAAAGAGAAAAAUGGGAAAUGCUCCGAGUUAUACCUUUUCUUGAUCUUUCCCAAUCCUUCAUUAUAAAUGGGACCCAUCAAAAACAUGAGAUGUGCUUUAACUUCCUCCAUAUUUCAUCUUAGCCUAGAAGGAUAAACAAGAAUAUUAUUGCUUCUGAAACAUAACGAUUGCAAGCAUCGCCUUUCGGUGAACUUUAGAUGACAUGAAACUGCCACAAAUUGGGUCCUAUCCGAGAGAGUUUUCUUUUUCUGCUCUGUUAUCACACAUAUACAACUGAAAUCUUUAAGUCCUCUUUAGGGUAUCCCUGAAAGAAAAUGAUCUAUCAUGCAUGGAAAGUCCUGAGGAAUCUGAGGCAUCACUACAUGAAAUUCAACCAACGGAAUUGCCGACAAACUGUUUCUUUCGGUAUUUUGCGGUGAUAUUUACCGACCGAAUUACUUCCCUUGCUAAAACCGUCGGUAUAUACCGACAGAAACAUUUCGUCGGUAUAUAUCGAGUGAAUCCCAGAUAGAAUAUAAAGAAUUUUAAAAAACAAAGCAGUGCAAUGACGUGGAAGUUUUUGUGGAUGAUGUUACUGACGGAAUUACAGAGUGAUUCAAACUGGGAUGUUCGUACAGUGACGUGUUUACUUCACCGACAGAAUGGCCGAUGGAUUUACAAACAGAAAUAUUAUGUCGGUAAUUCCAUCGGUAAUAGUUAAUAUAUUGAAUGUUUUUUUAGUGUUUACUUGUUUUAUUAUUUUUCUCAAACAAACUUGUAGUAUGGAUUUAUAAUUUUGUACUUGGUAUGGUUUGUUUUAGAUUUUGUAAAAUUAUAUUUGUUUGUAAAUUGUUGAAAUUUAUGUCGAAUUACCGACUUAGGUGUGUUGUGAUGAAAUAAAUAAUGACUUGUUUGAUGGGUCCGUUUUAAUUUUUGUCAAUUUUAUUGCCGAGUUGUAAUUUCUGUAAAUUAAUGUGUAUAAAUUUGUAUGGACGUAGAUAAUUGAUAAUGGAUAUUUAAGAGAAGUUUGAAAGUAAGUUGGAAAUCUUGAGCUAAACCAAUAUUUUUGCAAAUUUAUUUGCUUAACGUAGUUAAUUAAUACAUGUUGUCAUCAUUAUUUUAUAGAGGUUUGAUAGAAGUCAUGGAUGAUCAUUCAUGAAUGUAUCGAGAUUCACCUUAAGAAUUGCGGAUGAUGGAUUAUUAUAAUAGGAUUCAGAGUUUUAUUAAUUUCGCAACAUCUAUUUCGAGAAAUUUUAGUGGAGACGGUAUUAAGUGUCCAUACAGGAGGUGUAAAAAUAAAAAGUUUUUGCAUCCAGAUGUUGUAACGAUGUAUCUUCUACACAAAGGGUUCAUGGAGGAUUACUUGUGUUGGUAUGCACACAAAGAAUUAUUUGUUCGUAACAAGAGCAUGGUAGAAAGGAUGGUUGGGUCAACUUCUAGUGCUAGCAAUGUGCAUGGAGUUGUAAAUGACAAUAGUAAUCCUUACAGGAAUAUGGUUAUGGAUUCAAUGAGAAUGAAUCAAGGUAAUGCUAGUCAAUGUCCAAUUGUAGAAGAAGAACCUAAUGCAGACGCGGCCAUGUUUUUUGAUUUGUUGAAAGAUUCUGAUGAACCAUUAUGGGAUGGCUGCACAAAUCACUGUAAAUAAUCGGUCGUUGCACAUGUGUUCACUAUCAAGUUGGAUUAUGGGUUGAGUGAGGCCGGUUAUGACAAAAUUAUCGAAUGGGCAAGAAGCAUUCUACUUGAAGGGAACAAGCUGAAAGAGAACUUCUAUGCUACUAAGUCCAUGAUGAAACCCCUCGGUUUAGGAUACUAGAAAAUUGACAUGUGUCCAAACUUUUGCAUGAUGUACUACCUUGAAAAUGCUGAGCUAACCGAGUGCAUGGCAUGAGAGCAUUCCCGUUACAAACCCAGAACUGGCAUGAGAAAGACUCUUAUGGCAUAUAAAAAACUUAGAUACUUCCCAAUCACGCCUAGACUGUAGAGGUUAUUCAUGUCACCAAAGACUACUGAGCACAUGAUAUAGCACCAAUCACUUGAUGCAGUGGAUGGAGUGAUGGUGCAUCCUUCUGACGGUGAAGCAUGGAAACACUGUAACAGUGUGCAUUCUCAUUUUUCAGCUGAAUCAAGGAACGUGCAUCUUGGGUUAUGUACAGAUGAAUUCAACCCAUUCAGGUCAUUUGUUGAUCCUUAUUCUUGUUGGCCGAUUAUACUCACGGUUUACAACUUACCACUCUUAUGGCAACAGUUGCUCCUUCUUCACAAUACUUAUGGAACAAAGACUUGUUAAGUGCUUGACUAACGGACUGUUUUUCUCAAAGCUUUUAGUUUGGUUGACCUGAAACUUUGUUUUCGUAGCAAUCCCCAUCAACGGAAACUACGAUCAAAUUGUGUACAAUUUGGUUAUCUUGAAAUCGCAAUCUAGUGAUUUGCUUAAUCCAAAACCAAAAUCAAUGCCAAAGUUCGGUCAACCUGAGAUCCCAAUUUGGCGAUCCGCUUUAACUAGAACUAAAAUAUGAAAAGUAGCUCGGUAACCUGAAAUCCCAAUCCUGCGAUUCACUUUAACCAGAACCUUGGUCUUUGUCGUUAAGUUGGUCAAUCUAAAAUCCCAAUACGACGAUUCUCUUUAAUAAGAACCAAAAUGUCGCCUUUAGCUUAGUUAAUCUAAAAUCUCAAUCUAGAGACCCCCUUUAACCAAAACCUUGGUCUUUAUCCUUAGCUCGGUCAACCUGAGAUCCCAAUCUAGUGAUUUCCUUUAACCAAAACCAAAAUGUCACCUUAAGCUUGGUUAACCUGAAAUCUCAAUCUACAGAUCCCCUUUAAUCAGAACCUUGAUCUUUGUCUUUAGCUCAGUCAACUUGAGAUCCUAAUCUAGCUAUUCCCUUUAAUUAGAACAAAAAUGUCACCUUCAGCAUGGUUAACCUGAAAUCUCAAUCUAGAGACCCCCUUUAACCAGAACCUUGGUCUUUGUCUUCAGUUCGGCAAACCUAAAAUCCCAAUCUGAUGAUUCGUUUUAACCAGAACCAAAAUGUUGCCUUAAGCUUGGUUAACCUAAAAUCUUAAUAUAGAGACCCCCUUUAACUAAAACCCUGGUCUUUGUCUUUAGCUCAUUCAACCUGAGAUCCCAAUCCGACAAUCCUAUUUAACUAGAACCAAAAUGUUUCUUUCAGUUUGGUUAACCUGAAAUCUCAAUCGAGUGACUCCCUUUAAUCAAGCGAUUCCCUUUAACUAAAACCAAAAUGUUGCCUUCAACUCGGUUAACCUAAAAUCUCAAUUUAGAGACCCCUCUUUAACUAGAACCUUAGUCUUUUUUUUUUAGCUCGGUCAACUUGAGAUCCCAAUCUUAUGAUCCCAUUUAACAAGAACCAAAAUAUUGCCUUCAACUCGGUUAACCUAAAAUCUCAAUUUAGGGAACUCUCUUUAACUAGAACCUUAGUCUUUUUCUUUAGCUCGGUCAACUUGAGAUUCCAAUCCUACGAAUCUUGAAACAUCAUCCCCUUCUUAGUCCUACUUUGAUUUGCCAAAAAAAUGGAAAAGAAUGAAUGAUAUGGUGGAGAACUAGACCGGUCUUUACCAUUGGCUAGAACCAACCAUAGGCUGCUUAGAAAGCAACCUUCAACACCUAAAAACAAACCACCACAUAACAACCCUGCAAUUAUCAACAACAACAUCUAGUUCUAGCUACCUAGUCUAUGUCAAAGAAUAGAAUCUGAGGCAACUUUUUGACCAAAAUUCCAUUCUCUAUUAUUCCUUCAAUAUUGGGGUUUAAUGCAAGCAACUUGUUUAUUCGGAUUUGAGAUGUAAAUAGAUUUUAAUUUUGUUAGGAUGAGGUGGUCAGGUUGCGUCACAUUGAUUAUGUCAUGAAGUUAACUAGAGUAAGAAAUAAAGAUAUCAAGUUUCGGAGAGAAUCAAGAUCAGUUAAAGCAAAAAAAAAAAAAAACAGAUUAUGAAAAUAAAUUGGAAACGAAAAGUUUAGUUAUAAGGAAUUAGAUUCACAAACAAAUUUAAGUCUCAUCAAUUCUAGGAAACAAGUUGGAAGGAAUCAAUUUUACAAAAAUUGACCUUCGCACUAGAGAGAACCUUCGAGCCACUUCAAAUGUACUGAAGGCCAUUUGUUUGCCAUAUGUGCUAAUUAAGAACAUAAUUCUAUUCUUUUGUGAGUUAAUAUUCUGUAAAAUAAGCUUGGAAUAGCUUGCGGGGGCUUGGCUCAGAGAUCAUUGAGUUUUUACUACAAAUUGCCUUUUAAUUUUUUUCCACCUGUAAUUGGAUUCGAUAAGUUUCCCUUUUGUUUACAUAUGAAGAACAAACAUUGCUUGAGGUUAUCCAAUGCCGAGAUCAAGGUCAGAUAAUACUAGCGAACCCCUAAUCAGGAUUAAGAAGCAAAAAAAAUGUUAAGUGCAGCUUAUCCAAUGCCGAGACCAAGGUCAGAUAAUAUCCUGAUUGUGCUUAUUGCCAUUAAUUAGAAACUGCAAUAUCGUCACAUAAUUAAACUGAGAUUAUUCUGAUUAGAGAACAGAAGGAAUCUUCUUUCAUAAUUGGCUUUUGCGAAGGUUUAGUGUUUUUGCUGCUACUGCUUUUGGACCUGACUUGAUUCCUGAUCGGUCGAAAAAGCAUUAGUCCAAAAGCAGGGAAGCUUUUGUUUUCUUUAAUCACAUGAUCAGAUAUUAUAAUUUAUGCCCAACACAAAUUCAUAAAAGUGGCUCUAAGAUUGGCUGACAACAGUUGUUAAUGAGCAGUGUUUGCAUCCCUUAUUUUUCAGUUUACUAAGUAUUUAGAACAUUCAAUUCCAAUCCAAAGUCGAUAAUAAUAAACUCUUGGUAAUGGUUUUGUCAUCGAUGGUGAUCGGACGACAAAAAAACCAGUAAAAUUGUUUUAUAUAAAAAGUUUAUUAAGUAUUGAAAACAUCCAAAUCUAACAUGUUUUACUUUUUUGUGUUUAAAUAUGAUAUUAAUAAACUUUUGAUGAUAUAUAUUUUUUUUCAUUUUGUGAUGCUUUUAUCGUCAGUAGUGAUAAGAUGAAGAAAAGCUAUUGAUUUUUCUCUCAGCAAUGGUUAGUUUUAUCGUACACAAAUGUUGGGUGCUUUUAUUUACAAAAAGGAGUACUGUCUACCAUUAUUCAUUCCACAGCUGUUGUCAACCAAACCUUUCCUUUCUCUAUAAAGGUUGGCUUGGCCUCCUACAUAUUAGCCAAAGCAAGAAAACCAACAAAACCUAUAAACAGCUACUUGUCUUUGUGUGUUGAUUAAUUGUAGUUAACAUGGCACGUCAGGCAGAUCGUCUUGUUAAGAUUGGGCAGGAGGGUUUUGCAGCCAUUGAUGAGCACUUCGGCCGGGCCAAGAGGCGGCCACCAGUGAAGGUUCCCUAUGCUCAUCCCACAUAUUACGAUGUUCCUGCAACAGAAGUUAUCAACAGCAACGAGGCAGCUCAACGCUACAAGGGGAGGGUUUAUGUCGAUUACCCUAAGGGUAAACCAGUUCCGUUUUAAAGACCUAUUGAUUAAUCACUUAGCUUUCUUGUAUGCAUAACCUCCUCCAGUUGUGUUACCUUUAGUCCUGUACGAUAUUCUCCCUCUGCUAAACGUAGACGAGGAGAGGUUGCUAGAACUCGAGUCAGGAGCUUCUUCUUACUUCUUCAAAUAAACUUUCUGUGAUUUAUAUAUCAUUUUCUAUUUGUAUGUAUUGUCAUAAUUAUCUUUCUUACUUCCUCAUUAUCACCUCUUACUUAGCAUGGAAUUGAAAGAUACAAUAUGCUCUUGAAAUGCUUUGAAGCUCUUCAAGGUGUGAUUUCACCGACUAAGUUUGGAACUGUACAGAGCUCAAUGAUGAGCCGUGGGAGGCGUCUCUGAUUGUUGCACUGUAAGCAUGAGUGUACGUAUGAAUAUAACCAGCAGAUCCGCAAACCACAAGUGAUGACAAGCUUCUUAACACUGCUGCAUUUAACAGUUUUACCAACAAAAUGUUUUGUCGGUAUUUACUCUACCAUUCCGUCAGCAUGAAUUUUAUCGACUGAUUUACGGACGGAAACAGUCCAUUGGUAAAUUCCUCUUGUCAGUAAUUUCAUUAAUGUCGGUACAAAAAAACCCGAUGGUUUUACAAAUAGAAAAUGCAAGCCAAUUUUU
This 39268-nucleotide long non-coding RNA is filed under the name Populus trichocarpa (black cottonwood). RNAcentral describes it as "long non-coding RNA (PTRI_LNC004369)". The stretch from base 29518 to 29681 matches the Rfam family "MIR480 microRNA precursor family". The record is from RNAcentral. Lineage: Eukaryota; Viridiplantae; Streptophyta; Magnoliopsida; Malpighiales; Salicaceae.